CAUGUACUCCCUCUGUCCGGAAAUACUUGUCCUAGAAAUAGAUAUAAUGGAUGUAUCUAUAACUACAAUAAGCCUAGAUACAUCCCUUUCUAUGAAAAGUAUUUUCGGACGGAAGGAAUAUACU
This is a non-coding RNA of Triticum aestivum (bread wheat), 124 nucleotides long. The record is from Rfam. NCBI's taxonomy places the organism in Eukaryota, Viridiplantae, Streptophyta, Magnoliopsida, Poales, Poaceae.